GGAUGAUCUGGCUACAACAUCUGUCACUCAAUUCAUCAUCAGGUUUGAUGCAUCUGAUCUGGUUGGCUAGGUGUGUCCUCUUCCUCCAUGUGCAUCCCUCCUAAAAAUGCGCACUUGGUCAAAAACGAUGACCUUCCCCAACAGAAAGGACCAUUCUUGGUUCCAUGCUGGAACCUCCGAACAAGUUCUCAAGAACCAGACUUCCUGAGUGUAGCCCUGUAGCCUUU
Molecule: small RNA, 227 nt
Filed under: Nannospalax galili (Upper Galilee mountains blind mole rat)
Lineage: Eukaryota; Metazoa; Chordata; Mammalia; Rodentia; Spalacidae
Description: 7SK RNA (ENSNGAG00000003069.1)
Rfam family: 7SK RNA (bases 1-169)
About the family: 7SK was discovered as an abundant small nuclear RNA in the mid-70s but a possible function has only recently been suggested. Two independent studies have found that 7SK RNA binds the CDK9/cyclin T complex (known as elongation factor P-TEFb).
Source: RNAcentral